This 20-nucleotide non-coding RNA is filed under the name Mus musculus (house mouse). The record is from RNAcentral. Lineage: Eukaryota; Metazoa; Chordata; Mammalia; Rodentia; Muridae.
AUGGUGGCACCUAUGGGAGU